This 176-nucleotide unclassified non-coding RNA is filed under the name soil metagenome. Its description in RNAcentral is "partial internal transcribed spacer 1". The record is from RNAcentral.
CCGAGUGCGGGUCCUCACGGCCCAACCUCCCACCCUUGUCUUAUACACCUGUUGCUUUGGCGGGCCCACUGGGGCCACCUGGUCGCCGGGGGACGCAUGUCCCCGGGCCCGCGCCCGCCGAAGCGCUCUGUGAACCCUGAUGAAGAUGGGCUGUCUGAGUACCAUGAAAAUUGUCA